RNAcentral lists this ribosomal RNA (497 nucleotides) under uncultured bacterium. RNAcentral describes it as "partial 16S ribosomal RNA". It matches the Rfam family "Bacterial small subunit ribosomal RNA", at positions 28 to 507 of the family's 1533-position model. The record is from RNAcentral.
GAUGAACGCUGGCGGCGUGCCUAAUACAUGCAAGUCGAGCGAACAGACGAGGAGCUUGCUCCUCUGACGUUAGCGGCGGACGGGUGAGUAACACGUGGAUAACCUACCUAUAAGACUGGGGUAACUUCGGGAAACCGGAGCUAAUACCGGAUAAUAUAUUGAACCGCAUGGUUCAAUAGUGAAAGACGGUUUUGCUGUCACUUUUAGAUGGAUCCGCGCCGCAUUAGCUAGUUGGUAAGGUAACGGCUUACCAAGGCAACGAUGCGUAGCCGACCUGAGAGGGUGAUCGGCCACACUGGAACUGAGACACGGUCCAGACUCCUACGGGAGGCAGCAGUAGGGAAUCUUCCGCAAUGGGCGAAAGCCUGACGGAGCAACGCCGCGUGAGUGAUGAAGGUCUUCGGAUCGUAAAACUCUGUUAUUAGGGAAAAACAAAUGUGUAAGUAACUAUGCACGUCUUGACGGUACCUAAUCAGAAAGCCACGGCUAACUACGUG